Molecule: ribosomal RNA, 476 nt
Filed under: uncultured bacterium
Lineage: Bacteria
Description: partial 16S ribosomal RNA
Rfam family: Bacterial small subunit ribosomal RNA
Source: RNAcentral
GAUGAACGCUGGCGGCGUGCUUAACACAUGCAAGUCGAGCGAGUGAGUUCUUCGGAACGAUCUAGCGGCGGACGGGUGAGUAACACGUGGGCAACCUGCCUCAUAGAGGGGAAUAGCCUCCCGAAAGGGAGAUUAAUACCGCAUAAAAUUAUCGAGUGGCAUCACAUGGUAAUCAAAGGAGUAAUCCGCUAUGAGAUGGGCCCGCGGCGCAUUAGCUAGUUGGUGAGGUAACGGCUCACCAAGGCGACGAUGCGUAGCCGACCUGAGAGGGUGGUCGGCCACAUGGGGACUGGGACACGGCCCAGACUCCUACGGGAGGCAGCAGUGGGGAAUAUUGCACAAUGGGGGAAACCCUGGUGCAGCAACGCCGCGUGAGUGAUGAAGGUCUUCGGAUUGUAAAGCUCUGUCUUUGGGGACGAUGAUGACGGUACCCAAGGAGGAAGCCACGGCUAACUACGUGCCAGUAGCCGCCGUAA